Molecule: long non-coding RNA, 1514 nt
Organism: Gallus gallus (chicken)
Lineage: Eukaryota; Metazoa; Chordata; Aves; Galliformes; Phasianidae
Source: Ensembl
UAAUCUUUGGGGAAAAUGGGGUUUGAAAUAUACAUUGCAUAUUUGCAUCUAAUUUAAUUCAGGAUUGUGACAUGAUUAAAUUAAGUACAUCUAAAAAUACCAGGACUGUUAUGGGAAGAACUCUUCUGCCUGUUAUAGGAAGAUGUAUGAGGCUGUGAAGUAGGUUUUCACUGCUCACAUUUGUGAAUGCACAAAAGGAGCAACUUUACCCUAAAAUAGGCUUUUUAUCCUUCCUAAAUUUCUUUUAUGAAGCAGAAAUUGUGCAGGAUCAUCUAUGACUGCCACCUACUGAUACACUGACAAACAGCCAGCAGAGAUAGGAAAAAUAUCAAGCUUCAACUAGAAUGGCCUAUGAAGAGCGCUUUAAAUUAUUAGAUGCUGGACAGUGAGCACUUCAGUUUUCAUGGUCUGCAUUUGGUAAGCUCCUGUGCCCAACAUGUUGUGCUGUGCUUCAUGUGCCAGAGGGACAAUCUGAGUCUGUAAUGUCAGAAGAGUACAUCUGCACAGUAAGAACAGAAUGAAAAUGGUAGAUUCACCAUGCUGAAGGUCAAGGAGACCUUUCUCUUUGCUGUCUGUGUUCAGAAGGACCAGAGGGAUGAAUAACUUCUCAAGGUAGCAGUAAUCUUAUGCUCUCCUUCAUCUAACGUUAUCAAAACCUGUUUAAUCAGGCUGAAGUUACCCUCCUGGCUACCCAGCUUCAGCAAGUGGCGGUUAUGGGUUAGAUGUGAAACUGAGCUUGGACUAUUAACAUCUCCUAAAUGCCUCCCCAAAAUCAAGAAUAUUACCAUCACUUCUUGGCCAUCAUCCUGUCACGGUAAUGACAUUUCAAUUGUUUGAACUCCUCCGUGGGACUGUAGCCAAAUAACAGAUUCCUUGCUGGAAUAAAGCAUUCCACUCAGAAACACAACUGGUUUUGAGUGCUGUCAUGUUUAUGCAGUUCUCUGCCAAAGCAAAGCACACUCUUGUUUUUAUUGGAUUAAUAAAGGAUUGUUCUGGAAAACAAUGCUAUUAUUAUACGUGACUUUUUGGAAGAGACCCUCUGCAGAUAACCGUAGCGUUGCACAAAGAAAGAUUAACCAGGAAGGUUGUUUUCUUGCUUUUCUGAGCUCUGCUGAGUGCUAGAACGCAAGUCAUAGAGGAGAACCUCCUGCAUCCCACUCACAACUGAGGGCAACCAUUCCUGGCGGUGGGACAGGCCUGCAGGACAUCACAGCUUCACGGCUUUGCCACCAGCGACAAAGGAGAGCUGAGCUGGGAGGAGCAGGUAAAAAUGGGGUCUGCCGCAGUGUGGGAGCUUGCUCCAGCCACAGCGUCCCUCCGUCGGCUCUCUCUGUGGGACCACCACGUCUGUAAGCUCUACGUGCUGUGCGGAGGCAUCUUCACGGCGAAGCACCUCCGUUUAACUCAAGGCCCUUUCUCCUUUCCACGGAGCCACGCAGAGGCACGGAGGACAGGCUGUCAAAGCCCAGCACUGAGAUGAGACGCCCACAGGCAGCCGUGCCGAGGGCGCGCUG